UGGGGAAUAUUGGACAAUGGACCGAGAGUCUGAUCCAGCAAUUCUGUGUGCACGAUGACGUUUUUCGGAAUGUAAAGUGCUUUCAGUUGGGAAGAAAAAAAUGACGGUACCAACAGAAGAAGUGACGGCUAAAAACGUGCCAGCAGCCGCGGUAAUACGUAUGUCACAAGCGUUAUCCGGAUUUAUUGGGCGUAAAGCGCGUCUAGGUGGUUAUGUAAGUCUGAUGUGAAAAUGCAGGGCUCAACUCUGUAUUGCGUUGGAAACUGUAUAACUAGAGUACUGGAGAGGUAAGCGGAACUACAAGUGUAGAGGUGAAAUUCGUAGAUAUUUGUAGGAAUGUCGAUGGGGAAGCCAGCUUACUGGACAGAUACUGACGCUAAAGCGCGAAAGCGUGGGUAGCAAACAGG
RNAcentral lists this ribosomal RNA (407 nucleotides) under bacterium. RNAcentral's name for it is "partial 16S ribosomal RNA". It matches the Rfam family "Bacterial small subunit ribosomal RNA", at positions 355 to 776 of the family's 1533-position model. The record is from RNAcentral.